RNAcentral lists this ribosomal RNA (253 nucleotides) under uncultured bacterium. RNAcentral describes it as "partial 16S ribosomal RNA". It matches the Rfam family "Bacterial small subunit ribosomal RNA", at positions 524 to 776 of the family's 1533-position model. The record is from RNAcentral.
UACGUAGGGGGCAAGCGUUGUCCGGAAUCAUUGGGCGUAAAGAGCGUGUAGGCGGCCAGAUAAGUCCGCUGUGAAAUCUCGAGGCUCAACUUCGAGCUGUCGGUGGAAACUGUCUGGCUAGAGUCCGGAAGAGGAGAAUGGAAUUCCUGGUGUAGCGGUGAAAUGCGCAGAUAUCAGGAAGAACACCCGUGGCGAAGGCAGCUCGCUGGGACGGUACUGACGCUGAGACGCGAAAGCGUGGGGAGCAAACAGG